Molecule: ribosomal RNA, 855 nt
Filed under: uncultured bacterium
Lineage: Bacteria
Description: bacterial SSU rRNA
Rfam family: Bacterial small subunit ribosomal RNA
Source: RNAcentral
GAUGAACGCUAGCGGCAGGCCUAAUACAUGCAAGUCGAACGGUGUCUUCGGACAUAGUGGCGCACGGGUGCGUAACACGUAUGCAACCUACCUUACAUUGGGGGAUAGCCUUUCGAAAGGGAGAUUAAUACCGCAUAAGACAGUAGCUGGGCAUCCAGCAGCUGUUAAAGAUUUAUCGAUGUAAGAUGGGCAUGCGACCAAUUAGUUAGUUGGCGAGGUAACGGCUCACCAAGACUAUGAUUGGUAGGGGAACUGAGAGGUCAAUCCCCCACACUGGCACUGAGAUACGGGCCAGACUCCUACGGGAGGCAGCAGUAGGGAAUAUUGGGCAAUGGACGCAAGUCUGACCCAGCCAUGCCGCGUGCAGGAUGAAGGCGUUAUGCGUCGUAAACUGCUUUUAUACAGGAAGAAACGACUCUUGCGAGAGGCAUUGACGGUACUGUAUGAAUAAGCACCGGCUAACUCCGUGCCAGCAGCCGCGGUAAUACGGAGGGUGCAAGCGUUGUCCGGAUUUAUUGGGUUUAAAGGGUGCGCAGGUGGUUUAUUAAGUCAGUGGUGAAAGACGGUCGCUCAACGAUUGCAGUGCCAUUGAAACUAGUAGACUUGAGUAAAGUAGAGGUGGGCGGAAUUGAUAGUGUAGCGGUGAAAUGCAUAGAUAUUAUCAAGAACUCCAAUUGCGUAGGCAGCUCACUUGGCUUUUACUGACACUCAUGCACGAAAGUGUGGGUAUCAAACAGGAUUAGAUACCCUGGUAGUCCACACUGUAAACGAUGAUAACUAGGUGUCGGCCGAAUCUGGUCGGUGCCACAGCGAAAGCGUUAAGUUAUCCACCUGGGGAGUACGCCGGCAACGGUG